This 250-nucleotide ribosomal RNA is filed under the name uncultured bacterium. RNAcentral's name for it is "partial 16S ribosomal RNA". It matches the Rfam family "Bacterial small subunit ribosomal RNA", at positions 524 to 776 of the family's 1533-position model. The record is from RNAcentral.
UACGUAGGGUGCGAGCGUUAAUCGGAAUUACUGGGCGUAAAGCGUGCGCAGGCGGUUAUGUAAGACAGAUGUGAAAUCCCCGGGCUUAACCUGGGAACUGCAUUUGUGACUGCAUCGCUGGAGUGCGGCAGAGGGGAUGGAAUUCCGGCGUGUAGCAGUGAAUGCGUAGAUAUGCGGAGGAACACCGAUGGCGAAGGCAAUCCCCUGGGCCUGCACUGACGCUCAUGCACGAAAGCGUGGGAGCAACAGG